GCCAGGCGUUUGGCGGGCACCUGUGGUCCCAGCUACUUGGGAGGCUGAGGCAGGAGACUUGCUUGAGCCCAGGAGUUGGAGGUUGCUGUGAGCUGUGAAGCCAUGGCACUCUACCUAGGGGGAUAGCUUGAGACUCUGUCUCAAAAAAAAAAAAAAAGAUAGAGUUAUGUUGCCCUCGGUAGAGUGCUGUGGUGUCACAGUUCACAGCAACCUCCAACUUUUGGGCUUAAGCGAUUCUCUUGCC
This 244-nucleotide small RNA is filed under the name Otolemur garnettii (small-eared galago). RNAcentral's name for it is "Metazoan signal recognition particle RNA (ENSOGAG00000034175.1)". Lineage: Eukaryota; Metazoa; Chordata; Mammalia; Primates; Galagidae. The record is from RNAcentral.